AUGAAACUCCUAGCUUGGAACUGCCAGGGGCUCGGGAAUGCCCCGGCAGUUCGUGCUUUGCUGGACGUCCAACGAAGCAGUAAUCCCGAUGUGAUGUUUUUGUCGGAGACUCGCCUUGAUAGCUAUCCGGCAGAGUGUUUGCGUAGAAAGUUAAAGAUGGAUUUGAAAUUUGUGUGCCCAAGCAAUGGAAGGAAAGGAGGUCUGCUUUUAUUCUGGAAAAAAGAGAUUAAAAUACAAAGGCUUGAGCUAGACCCAAUGUUCAUUGAUGUGAAGAUAGAGGAGAGUAAUGGAGCGUGGUGGAGACUGACUGGGAUGUAUGGCGAAUUUCGUUGGGCAAACAAGUAUAAAACUUGGGACCGUAUGUGGGCAUUGCAUCAAAGCCAAAAUCUCCCUUGGCUUAUGAUGGGAGACCUAAACGAAAUCCAACUGCUUAAUGAAAAGGAAGGUGGAAACCCUCGUCCUCUGCAGUACAUGCAAGCGUUUUAA
Molecule: ribosomal RNA, 486 nt
Filed under: Triticum aestivum (bread wheat)
Lineage: Eukaryota; Viridiplantae; Streptophyta; Magnoliopsida; Poales; Poaceae
Description: partial small subunit ribosomal RNA
Source: RNAcentral